This 433-nucleotide ribosomal RNA is filed under the name uncultured bacterium. RNAcentral describes it as "partial 16S ribosomal RNA". It matches the Rfam family "Bacterial small subunit ribosomal RNA", at positions 29 to 507 of the family's 1533-position model. The record is from RNAcentral.
AACGAACGCUGGCGGCAGGCCUAACACAUGCAAGUCGAGCGAGGACUUCGGUCCUAGCGGCGGACGGGUGAGUAACGCGUGGGAACGUGCCCUUUGCUUCGGAAUAGCCCUGGGAAACUGGGAGUAAUACCGGAUGAGCCCUUUGGGGGAAAGAUUUAUCGGCGAAGGAUCGGCCCGCGUUGGAUUAGGUAGUUGGUGGGGUAAUGGCCUACCAAGCCGACGAUCCAUAGCUGGUUUGAGAGGAUGAUCAGCCACACUGGGACUGAGACACGGCCCAGACUCCUACGGGAGGGAGCAGUGGGGAAUCGUAGACAAUGGGGGAAGCCAUGAACGAGCCAUGCCGCGUGAGAGAUGAAGGCCGUAGGGUAGUAAAGUGCUUUCAGCUGGGAAGAUAAUGACGGUACCAGAAGAAGAAGCCCCGGCUAACUCCGUG